RNAcentral lists this ribosomal RNA (884 nucleotides) under uncultured bacterium. Its description in RNAcentral is "bacterial SSU rRNA". It matches the Rfam family "Bacterial small subunit ribosomal RNA", at positions 39 to 916 of the family's 1533-position model. The record is from RNAcentral.
GCGGCAGGCCUAACACAUGCAAGGCGAGGGGCAUCUUGAUUGAAGCUUGCUUCAAUUGCCGGCGACCGGCGCACGGGUGCGUAACGCGUAUGUAACCUACCUAUAACAGGGGCAUAACACUGAGAAAUUGGUACUAAUUCCCCAUAAUAUUCGGAGAGGCAUCUCUCCGGGUUGAAAACUCCGGUGGUUAUAGAUGGACAUGCGUUGUAUUAGCUAGUUGGUGAGGUAACGGCUCACCAAGGCAACGAUACAUAGGGGGACUGAGAGGUUAACCCCCCACACUGGUACUGAGACACGGACCAGACUCCUACGGGAGGCAGCAGUGAGGAAUAUUGGUCAAUGGACGCAAGUCUGAACCAGCCAUGCCGCGUGCAGGAAGACGGCUCUAUGAGUUGUAAACUGCUUUUGUACGAGGGUAAACUCACCUACGUGUAGGUGACUGAAAGUAUCGUACGAAUAAGGAUCGGCUAACUCCGUGCCAGCAGCCGCGGUAAUACGGAGGAUUCAAGCGUUAUCCGGAUUUAUUGGGUUUAAAGGGUGCGUAGGCGGUUUGAUAAGUUAGAGGUGAAAUCCCGGGGCUUAACUCCGGGACUGCCUCUAAUACUGUUAGACUAGAGAGUAGUUGCGGUAGGCGGAAUGUAUGGUGUAGCGGUGAAAAGCUUAGAGAUCAUACAGAACACCGAUUGCGAAGGCAGCUUACCAAACUAUAUCUGACGUUGAGGCACGAAAGCGUGGGGAGCAAACAGGAUUAGAUACCCUGGUAGUCCACGCAGUAAACGAUGAUAACUCGUUGUCGGCGAUACACAGUCGGUGACUAAGCGAAAGCGAUAAGUUAUCCACCUGGGGAGUACGUUCGCAAGAAUGCAACUCAAAGGAAUUGACGG